GCCCCGUACACAAAAGCGCAUGUGCUGUGAGCUCGAUGAGUAGGGCGGGACACGUGGUAUCCUGUCUGAAUAUGGGGGGACCAUCCUCCAAGGCUAAAUACUCCUGACUGACCGAUAGUGAACCAGUACCGUGAGGGAAAGGCGAAAAGAACCCCGGCGAGGGGAGUGAAAAAGAACCUGAAACCGUGUACGUACAAGCAGUGGGAGCACCCUUUGGGGUGUGACUGCGUACCUUUUGUAUAAUGGGUCAGCGACUUAUAUUCUGUAGCAAGGUUAACCGAAUAGGGGAGCCGGAGGGAAACCGAGUCUUAAUUGGGCGUUAAGUUGCAGGGUAUAGACCCGAAACCCGGUGAUCUAGCCAUGGGCAGGUUGAAGGUUGGGUAACACUAACUGGAGGACCGAACCGACUAAUGUUGAAAAAUUAGCGGAUGACCUGUGGCUGGGGGUGAAAGGCCAAUCAAACCGGGAGAUAGCUGGUUCUCCCCGAAAGCUAUUUAGGUAGCGCCUCGUGAAUUCAUCUCCGGGGGUAGAGCACUGUUUCGGCUAGGGGGCCAUCCCGGCUUACCAACCCGAUGCAAACUGCGAAUACCGGAGAAUGUUAUCACGGGAGACACACGGCGGGUGCUAACGUCCGUCGUGAAGAGGGAAACAACCCAGACCGCCAGCUAAGGUCCCAAAGUCAUGGUUAAGUGGGAAACGAUGUGGGAAGGCCCAGACAGCCAGGAUGUUGGCUUAGAAGCAGCCAUCAUUUAAAGAAAGCGUAAUAGCUCACUGGUCGAGUCGGCCUGCGCGGAAGAUGUAACGGGGCUAAACCAUGCACCGAAGCUGCGGCAGCGACGCUGAUGCGUUGUUGGGUAGGGGAGCGUUCUGUAAGCCUGUGAAGGUGGCCUGUGAGGGUUGCUGGAGGUAUCAGAAGUGCGAAUGCUGACAUAAGUAACGAUAAAGCGGGUGAAAAGCCCGCUCGCCGGAAGACCAAGGGUUCCUGUCCAACGUUAAUCGGGGCAGGGUGAGUCGACCCCUAAGGCGAGGCCGAAAGGCGUAGUCGAUGGGAAACGGGUUAAUAUUCCCGUACUUGGUGUUACUGCGAAGGGGGGACGGAGAAGGCUAUGUUGGCCGGGCGACGGUUGUCCCGGUUUAAGCGUGUAGGUGUGUGUUCCAGGUAAAUCCGGUUCACUUUAACACUGAGGCGUGA
Molecule: ribosomal RNA, 1192 nt
Filed under: Salmonella enterica
Lineage: Bacteria; Pseudomonadati; Pseudomonadota; Gammaproteobacteria; Enterobacterales; Enterobacteriaceae
Description: partial 23S ribosomal RNA
Rfam family: Bacterial large subunit ribosomal RNA
Source: RNAcentral